GACGAACGCUGGCGGCGUGCUUAACACAUGCAAGUCGAGCGGUAAGGCCCUUUCGGGGGUACGACGAGCGGCGAACGGGUGAGUAACACGUGGGUGACCUGCCCUCAGCUCUGGGAUAAGCCCGGGAAACGUGGGUCUAAUACCGGAUAUGACUCCAUGACGCAUGUUGGUGGGGUGGAAAGCCUUGUGCGGCUGAGGAUGGGCCCGCGGCCUAUCAGCUUGUU
RNAcentral lists this ribosomal RNA (224 nucleotides) under uncultured bacterium. RNAcentral's name for it is "partial 16S ribosomal RNA". It matches the Rfam family "Bacterial small subunit ribosomal RNA", at positions 28 to 250 of the family's 1533-position model. The record is from RNAcentral.